Molecule: ribosomal RNA, 372 nt
Filed under: uncultured prokaryote
Description: bacterial SSU rRNA
Rfam family: Bacterial small subunit ribosomal RNA
Source: RNAcentral
UACGAAGGGGGCUAGCGUUGCUCGGAAUUACUGGGCGUAAAGGGCGCGUAGGCGGAUCGUUAAGUUAGAGGUGAAAGCCCAGGGCUCAACCUUGGAACUGCCUUUGAUACUGGCGAUCUGGAGUACGGGAGAGGUGUGUGGAACUCCGAGUGUAGAGGUGAAAUUCGUAGAUAUUCGGAAGAACACCAGUGGCGAAGGCGACACACUGGCCCGUUACUGACGCUGAGGCGCGAAAGCGUGGGGAGCAAACAGGAUUAGAUACCCUGGUAGUCCACGCCGUAAACGAUGAGUGCUAGUUGUCGGCAUGCAUGCAUGUCGGUGACGCAGCUAACGCAUUAAGCACUCCGCCUGGGGAGUACGGUCGCAAGAUUA